UUCCGGUUGAUCCCGCCGGAGGCCAUUGCUAUCGGAGUCCGAUUUAGCCAUGCUAGUCGAGCGAGGUUAGCCCUCGCGGCGAACAGCUCAGUAACACGUGGCCAAGCUACCCUGCAGAGGGGGACAGCGUCGGGAAACUGACGGGAAUCCCCCAUACCGGUCUCACGCUGGAAUGCCGAGACCGACAAACGCUCCGGCGCUGCAGGAUGCGGCUGCGGCCGAUUAGGUAGUCGGUGGGGUAACGGCCCACCGAGCCGAUAAUUGGUACGGGGUGUGAGAGCACGAGCCCGGAGACGGAAUCUGAGACAAGAUUCCGGGCCCUACGGGGCGCAGCAGGCGCGAAACCUUUACACUGCACGAACGUGCGAUAAGGGGACUCCGAGUGCGAGGGCAUACAGUCCUCGCUAUUGUGUACCGUAGGGUGGUACACGACCAAGAGCUGGGCAAGACCGGUGCCAGCCGCCGCGGUAAUACCGGCAGCUCGAGUGAUGGCCGAUUUUAUUGGGCCUAAAGCGUCCGUAGCUGGCCCUGCAAGUCCGUCGGGAAAUCCACUCGCCUAACGAGUGGGCGUCCGGCGGAAACUACAGGGCUUGGGACCGGAAGACUUGAGGGGUACGUCUGGGGUAGGAGUGAAAUCCUGUAAUCCUGGACGGACCGCCGAUAGCGAAAGCACCUCAAGACGACGGAUCCGACAGUGAGGGACGAAAGCUAGGGUCUCGAACCGGAUUAGAUACCCGGGUAGUCCUAGCUGUAAACGAUGUUCGCUAGAUGUGGCACAGGCUACGUGCCUGUGCUGUGUCGUAGGGAAGCCGAGAAGCGAACCGCCUGGGAAGUACGUCCGCAAGGAUGAAACUUAAAGGAAU
RNAcentral lists this ribosomal RNA (863 nucleotides) under uncultured archaeon. RNAcentral describes it as "bacterial SSU rRNA". It matches the Rfam family "Archaeal small subunit ribosomal RNA", at positions 1 to 865 of the family's 1478-position model. The record is from RNAcentral.